RNAcentral lists this ribosomal RNA (274 nucleotides) under uncultured bacterium. RNAcentral describes it as "partial 16S ribosomal RNA". It matches the Rfam family "Bacterial small subunit ribosomal RNA", at positions 523 to 796 of the family's 1533-position model. The record is from RNAcentral.
AUACGGAGGGUGCAAGCGUUAAUCGGAAUUACUGGGCGUAAAGCGCGCGUAGGCGGUUUAGUCAGUCAGAUGUGAAAGCCCCGGGCUCAACCUGGGAACUGCAUUUGAUACUGCUGAACUAGAGUAUGGUAGAGGGAAGUGGAAUUCCGGGUGUAGCGGUGAAAUGCGUAGAUAUCCGGAGGAACACCAGUGGCGAAGGCGACUUCCUGGACCAAUACUGACGCUGAGGUGCGAAAGCGUGGGUAGCAAACAGGAUUAGAAACCCCGGUAGUCC